Molecule: small RNA, 4247 nt
Filed under: Rattus norvegicus (Norway rat)
Lineage: Eukaryota; Metazoa; Chordata; Mammalia; Rodentia; Muridae
Description: uncharacterized LOC102550046
Source: RNAcentral
GAAUGUGUAUGUAUAAGGGUGAACAAUGAAGUGAUGUCUUAUUUGCCUUAACUGAUCUUUGCAGUUAGCUGUUUGCGGGUAUAAUCAUAAACAAUCCUGCCUUAGUAUCGAAUGGAUUCUCUCAGCAAGGGAUCGUAAGCCCAAGAACCAGAGCCGCCUCCAGCCUUCCCUUUUCUCACCCGGCUCAUGCCAGCGCCGAGAGACGGAGCAGAGUGGUAAAUACUUCUUGAAGAAUUGUACCUGCCCCUCUGACCAGGAGUGGAAGUAAUUGUACUGAAGAAAUUGGUCUGGUGCAUUAACAACCAGUUUCAGCCGGCCCGAGUGCUGCUUCACAGCGCUGCUUUUCUCCUGUUUGCUCCUUCUCAAGUCUCAAGUCUCUUUCUAUAGCCUGCGGCUAAGCUGAACGCGACAGUCGGCUCUGCUCCCACUCUGCUCAUUCAGUUCUGCCUACAGCAGUUUUCCUAGGGAGCUUUCCUUCCCUCCGCCCCCACCACCUGCGCCUGCGCUGAGCCGAUCCGGAAGACAAACCCCCAGCUUUGUCGUUAUCCUGCAAGACUAACUGCAACGGAAUAAAGCAGGACUUCAAAGGACCGACUACGAAUCCAAUGAAAGAAUGCUAAGAGUGUAUUGAGAAUCAACAACAGGCAAUUAAUUUUCUCCUAAAACUGAAAGAGAAUCAUUGCCCACCAUAAGUCAACUUCAAGUCUGUGGAAAAGAACCGUGUCCUAACCUUUGAGGGGUGAUAGUCGCAACGAAGGUGAAAUUGUAGACUGCUGGACUUUGUUGUUCCAGCCUCCACUUCAUCUCCUUUCAUUUAUUUCAUUUCGUACCAAGAUGAACAGCUGAAUUACUUGACGCUUAGACUUCCUAGGCCCGUCCACGUUUCCCACAUAUGAGACAUAAUGUAUAUAAAGUGCUUCAUACAAGGCCUGCUGCAUGGUGAGCACUCAGCAAGUGUUAGCUCUGACAUUCAUAUACAUUAAAGCUAUGCUAUCUGGAUUGCGGGAGUCAGCUUCCGUGCUUAGCGCUGUAUUGAUGCCUGCGUGGGUGGCAGUGAUCUUCAUUAUCCGACGUGCGUCUGCUUCUCUCUUUCCUAGUCAGCUCACUGAGGUGAGAUGCUCUGCACCAUCUCCAGGCUCACCCUGGAAGGUAUUAUAGCCUCAGCUAGCACCCUUACAGACACUAGCAGCAAGGGUGCUUUCCAUACACUGGGCGCCAGGCAAAUGCUGCCGCCUGACGGCUUGAUCGAGCGUCCCAUUUGAAUCGUUCACUGCAGCAAACCCUGAAGUUCCUUUUCUACCUCUCUUGUCAUCCAGAACUGUCUUCCUAGAUCUCCUGCCUCAUUUCACCCUGUCUUCCUUUUUCUAGAUCUUUCUGUUUCAUGUUCCUCCCCAGACUUUCAUUUAAAAAAAAAUUCAGGACACAGACAUUAGUUUGUUCUAGAAAAUAUUUCCCCCUUGCUUCUAUAUCUUAAUUUCGCUAAACCUAUUUCCUCUGCUGCCUAGCAGUAUAAAUGAGACCAUAGUUCACCGUGUGACUUAUAAGAUGAAACACUCCAUUCAGAGUAACGGAACACAUACUUGAAGGCAGGCACCGACUCUGAAGAGAAGCCUUCUCGAUGCCUCUCAUCUGUGAGGUUGCGUUGGGGUGGAUGUUGUUAGAGGCAAUCAGCACGUGCAGCAGGCUGGGCGGGAUGGAACCUCUGCCAUCUGGAGGAGGAAGAUUCAGACGUGGAGAAGAAUCUCUGGGGUUAUGGAGUUCACAGUCCUGUGCCUUCAUUUUGCCUUAGUCUCUGAAGUGAGUGUUUUAAGUGACAGGCAUCAGCCAGAAAGUGCAGAAGAGAAAGAACUGAUGCCAUGGGCGCUCUCCGAGGGAAGCAGGUAAGUCAGGCAGCCUCAGGGUUCACAAAUACUUCUCUUGCAGCGGUAAACCAAGUUUGUCCUAAUUAGAGUAUUUUGUUGUAUUUUCAUACAUAUAAUAAUCUAGUUUAUCUGCAAGUAAUUCAUUUACAAUUCAAUUAAACGACCAAGGAGAAUAAAAUGCUAAAAUAAACAUGUGUUCAAAUAAGAUGCACUGUGUAUAAUUAGACACAACACAUAGGCCUGUCUUAGCAUUUGAUUUGCGUGAUAAUACAAAUAGGUCACUUGAGGAUAUGCCAAAUAUCAGAGAUUAGCUGACCUCUGUGUUCCGGCCAAGCUGGAGAGGAUGAUUUUGUGAUCUGAAUGAAAAAUGAAAAAAAAAAAUCAGUGUGUUAUCCAAAUGUUUACAAGAAUCCAGCUGUUUGAUGUCAGGUAGUCAGAACACUGGAUAACUGACAGAGCCAUUUCACUUUCAUCCAGAUGUUUCUGCAUUGUGUUGAUUUACCCUGACACAUACCAAAGUUGAGUCACUUCCUUGGGAUCCAUGACAAAAUCUUCUUAGUACACUGGCAAUAAAACUGCUUGGAGGUGCGCUAUUUCCGUAUCACCAGCACAAACGCUUUGCUACUGCCCCAGACACGAGAAUGGUCCAUUCAUUUCUCUUUAUUCUCCAUGUCUUUGCUCUCCUCACUGCCCACCACCCAAGGUCUGUGUUAACCCGGGCUGUGACCCAUGACAAAGUGGACUCCUCCAUCACAGGACUGUGCAGUGUGGCCUUUGUCUUGCAGGCUGCUUCCCUUCACAGCAAUCACCAUCUCUCUGGGACAUCACUAUCUGGGCUGGCCGGAUCAGGAUUCCAGAGCAUCCCAAGGUUGAUUGCGGUAUAGGCAAUCACAGCCACCAUUCAUCCUCCCAUUAUCACGGUCAAUAAUACAAGUCAUCGAGAUUUGGCUGUGAUUCACAGGCCUGGCUGAAGUGACGGACGCUGACCCAGAGUCCUAGCCACACGCUCAUAAAUCUCACUGCGGCUCUCGGCUCUGCAGCUGGAGCUGCUGUAUGCAGAGCCCGUGAUGCUUGCAAAUCAGCCUCUUUGACUCAGCUUCUUCCGGUUGCCUUGACUCCGGGGAAUCUACCAGUGCCUGAUUGCUGCCUGUCUCCAGCCCAUCUGGUACCUCUCAGGGCCAAGAUGUCUUAGGCUGGACCAGUCAUCUUGAAAUUGAACCUUCCUCUGUCACCUCUCUUAGCUUCUUUGCCCCCAAUCCCCAAAGCCACGUUCCCUUUAGCAUGGUCUCCCUCAGGUGUCUGCUCAGACUAUGCUCUCAAUCUACCCAGAGGCAACAUGAGCAGGGGUUCUGGAGACAUUGAGAAAAUUGCACCUCUGUGGGCCAUGUUCCCCUAAUCCUGACAUGACAGUGUUGGACUAAAUCAGGCGUGAGGUCCCCUCCAGUUCUAAAAUCACACCAUCUUCCUAAUACCAUGAGACUGGCUGCCUUCCCAGGGAUGAUUGCUCAUCAGUUUACCUCGUUAUUACACAGAGAUAUUCGGAGGUGGGGAUGGGGAAGAAAAACAAGGCUCCAGGAUCAGCAUCUUGAAAACUUGUCUGAUAACUCUCUCACCUUUAUGUGCACAGGAAAGCUUAGAGCUCCGAAUGCCGUGACCUGUAAGUCCAAGAUGGGAGCAACAGGGAAAGACUUCCUGCACCCAAGAACCAGAGGAAUAAGAGUGAACUGGGAAGACAGACAGACAGACAGACAGGACCAGAAGGUGGUUGUUUCUAGGUGGCUGCCAGGAAACAGUGUUCCCAUGGAGCAAACAAUCAACACUUUCUCUGGAAUUUGAAUUUACUAACUAUACAUGGACUGAACACCUAAUGAAGGAAGGAAGGGAGGAAAGAGGAAGAUGAAAGGGAAGAAGGAAGAGAAAGAGGAAGGAAGAAGGAAGGGAGGAAGGAGGAAGGGAGGAAGGAAAGAAAGAGGAAGAUGAAAGGGAAGAAGGAAGAGAAAGAGGAAGGAAGAAGGAAAGGAGGAAGGGAGGAAGGAAAGAGGGAGAAAGGAAAGUGGAAGGAAGGGAGAAGGAAGAAAGGAAGGGAGGAAGGAAGCUUAGUAUGCAAACUGUGGAAGCUUCCAGAGUUGAGAUUUGCAGAUGAACAAUCUUUGUAUUGUAUUGAGCACUUGUCCCUUUCCAACGAGGGACAAAUAUUUUAAGUGCUCUCUCCUAACACCUUAAUGUAGGUUACACCAGGGUAAUGGAUAUUUAGGGAAGUUCUCGACAAUUCACAAAGGUUAUUAGUCUUGGAAGCAGAGAGAAGGGCAUUUAUACCCUCUCAUGUGAAGAAAUUAAUGGCGCCUUUCUGUUCUGAUUGUAGUUUAUUAAAAUUUUAAACCAUCA